UUGGCGAAACCCGAAAAGCCAAAAAUAGAGUAGGGU
Molecule: non-coding RNA, 36 nt
Filed under: unclassified sequences
Description: DUF805b RNA
Rfam family: DUF805b RNA
About the family: Bacteroidetes, Chlorobi (1 example), Proteobacteria. Lineage (Flavobacteria)
Source: RNAcentral